CCUACGGGAGGCAGCAGUGGGGAAUCUUGCGCAAUGGGCGAAAGCCUGACGCAGCCAUGCCGCGUGAAUGAUGAAGGUCUUAGGAUUGUAAAAUUCUUUCACCGAGGACGAUAAUGACGGUACUCGGAGAAGAAGCCCCGGCUAACUUCGUGCCAGCAGCCGCGGUAAUACGAAGGGGGCUAGCGUUGCUCGGAAUUACUGGGCGUAAAGGGAGCGUAGGCGGAUAGUUUAGUCAGAGGUGAAAGCCCAGGGCUCAACCUUGGAAUUGCCUUUGAUACUGGCUAUCUUGAGUACGGAAGAGGUAUGUGGAACUCCGAGUGUAGAGGUGAAAUUCGUAGAUAUUCGGAAGAACACCAGUGGCGAAGGCGACAUACUGGUCCGUUACUGACGCUGAGGCUCGAAAGCGUGGGGAGCAAACAGGAUUAGAUACCCUGGUAGUCCACGCUGUAAACGAUGAGUG
Molecule: ribosomal RNA, 460 nt
Filed under: uncultured bacterium
Lineage: Bacteria
Description: bacterial SSU rRNA
Rfam family: Bacterial small subunit ribosomal RNA
Source: RNAcentral